RNAcentral lists this long non-coding RNA (257 nucleotides) under Phaseolus vulgaris (common bean). RNAcentral's name for it is "long non-coding RNA (PVUL_LNC001066)". Lineage: Eukaryota; Viridiplantae; Streptophyta; Magnoliopsida; Fabales; Fabaceae. The record is from RNAcentral.
UGUUUGGAUCCAGGGGUGGUACUGUUGUCGACGACGGAAGUCACAACACCACCCCAUUUGGUUCCAUGGUUCGUUGCGGGUGAGAGUGCAGCUGAAGAGAAAGUUGAGGGAAUGUUGUUUCUUCUGAAAGCUGAAGAGAAAGUUUCACUGUGCAGUGGAAGUGCCAAAUCAUCACCACGCAUUUCCAAUCUUGCCCUUACUUUUUUGUUGGAUUCAAGAAGCACAGUGCCUCUGCAUGCAUGCCAAGUGAAAAGCAA